CCUACGGGAGGCAGCAGUGGGGAAUAUUGGACAAUGGGCGCAAGCCUGAUCCAGCCAUGCCGCGUGAGUGAUGAAGGCCUUAGGGUUGUAAAGCUCUUUCACCGGAGAAGAUAAUGACGGUAUCCGGAGAAGAAGCCCCGGCUAACUUCGUGCCAGCAGCCGCGGUAAUACGAAGGGGGCUAGCGUUGUUCGGAAUUACUGGGCGUAAAGCGCACGUAGGCGGUUAUUUAAGUCAGGGGUGAAAUCCCAGAGCUCAACUCGGGAACUGCAUUUGAUACUGGCUGUCUAGAGUAUGGAAGAGGUAAGUAGAAUUCCGGGUGUAGCGGUGAAAUUCGUAGAUAUUCGGAGGAACACCGGUGGCGAAGGCGGCUUACUGGUCCAUUACUGACGCUGAGGUCGAAA
Molecule: ribosomal RNA, 402 nt
Filed under: Agrobacterium tumefaciens
Lineage: Bacteria; Pseudomonadati; Pseudomonadota; Alphaproteobacteria; Hyphomicrobiales; Rhizobiaceae
Description: bacterial SSU rRNA
Rfam family: Bacterial small subunit ribosomal RNA
Source: RNAcentral